GAUGAACGCUGGCGGCGUGCUUAACACAUGCAAGUCGAACGAUGAAGCCCAGCUUGCUGGGUGGAUUAGUGGCGAACGGGUGAGUAACACGUGAGUAACCUGCCCUUAACUCUGGGAUAAGCCUGGGAAACUGGGUCUAAUACCGGAUAGGAGCGUCCACCGCAUGGUGGGUGUUGGAAAGAUUUAUCGGUUUUGGAUGGAUUCGCGGCCUAUCAGCUUGUUGGUGAGGUAAUGGCUCACCAAGGCGACGACGGGUAGCCGGCCUGAGAGGGUGACCGGCCACACUGGGACUGAGACACGGCCCAGACUCCUACGGGAGGCAGCAGUGGGGAAUAUUGCACGAUGGGCGCAAGCCUGAUGCAGCGACGCCGCGUGAGGGAUGACGGCCUUCGGGUUGUAAGCCUCUUUCAGUAGGGAAGAAGCGAAAGUGACGGUACCUGCAGAAGAAGCACCGGCUAACUACGUG
This 466-nucleotide ribosomal RNA is filed under the name uncultured bacterium. Its description in RNAcentral is "partial 16S ribosomal RNA". It matches the Rfam family "Bacterial small subunit ribosomal RNA", at positions 28 to 507 of the family's 1533-position model. The record is from RNAcentral.